This 305-nucleotide ribosomal RNA is filed under the name uncultured bacterium. RNAcentral's name for it is "partial 16S ribosomal RNA". It matches the Rfam family "Bacterial small subunit ribosomal RNA", at positions 508 to 807 of the family's 1533-position model. The record is from RNAcentral.
ACAGCAGCCGCCGCGGGAAUACGAAGGGGGCUAGCGUUGCUCGGAAUGACUGGGCGUAAAGCGCACGUAGGCGGCUUGGUAAGUUAGAGGUGAAAGCCCGGAGCUCAACUCCGGAAUUGCCUUUAAGACUGCCGAGCUAGUAGGUGAGAGAGGUAAGUGGAAUUCCGAGUGUAGAGGUGAAAUUCGUAGAUAUUCGGAAGAACACCAGUGGCGAAGGCGGCUUACUGGCUCAUUCUAGACGCAGAGGUGCGAAAGCGUGGGGAGCAAACAGGAUUAGAUACCCCUGUAGUCCCUGUCUCUUAUAC